RNAcentral lists this long non-coding RNA (1093 nucleotides) under Phasianus colchicus (ring-necked pheasant). RNAcentral describes it as "lncRNA (ENSPCLG00000000756.1)". The record is from RNAcentral. Lineage: Eukaryota; Metazoa; Chordata; Aves; Galliformes; Phasianidae.
CGGGAGGCUUGAAGGGGCUAUCGCUAUCAGUGCAGGUAGACCCUAUGCAUAUUUCAUCACUUUGGCAGGGGUUUCUGCAGGUCUUGUGAUCUUUGCAGGGUUCCUUAUGGGAAAUGCAAUGAGGAGAGUCUCAGGAGGGGUUGGAAAAUGAAAAACAUAAGGACAGCUUUGUGGUGAUUUUGGUGGUGGUGGAAGAGAGAUAAUAGCAUUGAAAAAGAAGUAGUGAGGAAAAGAAGAGAUAAGAAGAGCCUCUUCUGAGGGUAAGGAUUCUGCAAAGAAGAAGGAGCUGAGCUCAAAGAACACUGUGGCUUUGGCUGGAGCAACAAAAUGGGGAAGAACAAGGAAAUGUCAAGUGCUUGUUGAGGGAAUAUUGCCCCAGUAGCAGGGUGAGGUGUGUAGCAAGUGAUAAUGAGAGAGAGGUAAGAAAGAAAGAUGUGCCAAAGGAAAAUGAAAACUUUGCUGGUGCUGAGAAAAUUGGAUGCUCAAAACAAUUAUUAAAUAAGGUCAGCAAGACAGAAAGAAACCAAAAAAAAGGAAAAAAAAAAAAAAAAAGAAAAAUAAGAACAGUUAUGCUGAAACACACUCGGGAGAGGAUGCACUCUGAUUCCCCUAUUUCUUCCCAAAUUUCAGUAAAUAUACGUAGUGAAGAGCUUUUAUUUUUUCACUCACAUCUCUUUGUAUCUUUGCACGUACAUUUUCCAUAGUUACCCAAGUCUACAUAACUUCCCUGGCACCACCCUGGAGAGUUCCCUCAGAGGCUGUGGCAGAAUGCAGCUGCCAGAGCCCUGUGAUGGUUCGCACUGCGAGCAGUCUGUGCUGGGCAGUGACUGACAGAUCUCUGACACCCUUUUUCUCAUCAGCUGUGGGAGCUGCACCUUUACUUCUGGAUGGACCUCUGGCUUCUGAGAGCAACAGAGUCACCUCUGUCACUGACAGCUGGUGGGGGCCUGCAAACCACAUGCCUGGAGGUAAUAGGCUGUGGCUGUACAGUGGCCCCGGUGAAGACAUCCUCUGUGCCAUGCUUUGGUCAGGAAGAAGGAUUUAUGGAAUUCUUCAUUACCACAUCCUGUGGGCUGAGAAAUCAAUAAAGUAG